This 347-nucleotide unclassified non-coding RNA is filed under the name soil metagenome. Its description in RNAcentral is "partial contains 5.8S ribosomal RNA, internal transcribed spacer 2, and large subunit ribosomal RNA". The stretch from base 1 to 120 matches the Rfam family "5.8S ribosomal RNA", at positions 35 to 154 of the family's 154-position model. The record is from RNAcentral.
GAUGAAGAACUUAGCGAAAUGCGAUAAGUAGUGUGAAUUGCAGAAUUCAGUGAAUCAUCGAAUCUUUGAACGCACAUUGCGCCCAUUGGCAUUCCGAUGGGCAUGCCUGUUCGAGCGUCAUUAUCCUCCCUCAAACCCCUGGGUUUGGUGUUGGACUGUGUGGUGCCUGGCACCACUGGUCUCAAAGACAAUGACGGCGUCCGUGGGACCCUCGGUGCAACGAGCUUUUCGAAGCACGCGUCGAGUGGACAGUCUCUCCGGGCCGGUCACCUCUCCAAUUUUUCUCAGGUUGACCUCGGAUCAGGUAGGAAUACCCGCUGAACUUAAGCAUAUCAAUAAGCGGAGGA